GGAGAGAUGCUCGAGUGGCUUAAGAGGCACGCCUGGAAAGCGUGUAUACGACAAAAUCGUAUCUCGGGUUCGAAUCCCGAUCUCUCCG
Molecule: transfer RNA, 88 nt
Filed under: Bacteroidales bacterium
Lineage: Bacteria; Pseudomonadati; Bacteroidota; Bacteroidia; Bacteroidales
Also listed under: 10 other names
Description: tRNA-Ser
Rfam family: tRNA
About the family: Transfer RNA (tRNA) molecules are approximately 80 nucleotides in length.
Source: RNAcentral